This 427-nucleotide ribosomal RNA is filed under the name uncultured bacterium. Its description in RNAcentral is "bacterial SSU rRNA". It matches the Rfam family "Bacterial small subunit ribosomal RNA", at positions 355 to 774 of the family's 1533-position model. The record is from RNAcentral.
UGGGGAAUUUUGGACAAUGGGCGCAAGCCUGAUCCAGCAAUGCCGCGUGCAGGAUGAAGGCCUUCGGGUUGUAAACUGCUUUUGUACGGAACGAAAAGGCUCUGGUUAAUACCUUGGGCCCAUGACGGUACCGUAAGAAUAAGCACCGGCUAACUACGUGCCCGCAGCCGCGGUAAUACGUAGGGUGCAAGCGUUAAUCGGAAUUACUGGGCGUAAAGCGUGCGCAGGCGGUUAUGUAAGACAGAUGUGAAAUCCCCGGGCUCAACCUGGGACCUGCAUUUGGGACUGCAUAGCUAGAUUAAGGCAGAGGGGGAUGGAAUUCGGCGUGUAGGAGUGAAAUGCGUAGGUAUGCGGAGGAACACCGAUGGCCAAGGCAAUCCCCUGGGCCUGUACUGACGAUCAUGCACGAAAGCGUGGGGAGCAAACA